AACGAACGCUGGCGGCAUGCCUAACACAUGCAAGUCGAACGAGACCUUCGGGUCUAGUGGCGCACGGGUGCGUAACGCGUGGGAACCUGCACUUAGGUUCGGAAUAACUCCCCGAAAGGGGUGCUAAUACCGGAUAAUGUCUUCGGACCAAAGAUUUAUCGCCUUUGGAUGGGCCCGCGUUGGAUUAGCUAGUUGGUAGGGUAAAAGCCUACCAAGGCGACGAUCCAUAGCUGGUCUGAGAGGAUGAUCAGCCACACUGGGACUGAGACACGGCCCAGACGCCUGCGGGAGGCAGCAGUGGGGAAUAUUGGACAGGGGGCGAAAGCCUGAUCCAGCAAUGCCGCGUGAGUGAUGAAGGCCUUAGGGUUGUAAAGCUCUUUUACCCGGGAUGAUAAGGACAGUACCGGGAGAAUAAGCUCCGGCUAACUCCGU
This 432-nucleotide ribosomal RNA is filed under the name uncultured bacterium. RNAcentral's name for it is "partial 16S ribosomal RNA". It matches the Rfam family "Bacterial small subunit ribosomal RNA", at positions 29 to 506 of the family's 1533-position model. The record is from RNAcentral.